CCUACGGGUGACAGCAGUGGGGAAUAUUGCACAAUGGGGGAAACCCUGAUGCAGCGACGCCGCGUGAGUGAAGAAGUAUCUCGGUACGUAAAGCUCUAUCAGCAGGAAAGAAAAUGACGGUACCUGACUAAGAAGCCCCGGCUAACUACGUGCCAGCAGCCGCGGUAAUACGUAGGGGGCAAGCGUUAUCCGGAUUUACUGGGUGUAAAGGGAGCGUAGACGGCAGCGCAAGUCUGGAGUGAAAUCCCAUGGCUUAACCAUGGAACUGCUUUGGAAACUGUGCAGCUAGAGUGCAGGAGAGGUAAGCGGAAUUCCUAGUGUAGCGGUGAAAUGCGUAGAUAUUAGGAGGAACACCAGUGGCGAAGGCGGCUUACUGGACUGUAACUGACGUUGAGGCUCGAAAGCGUGGGGAGCAAACAGGAUUAGAUACCCGUGUAGUC
Molecule: ribosomal RNA, 440 nt
Filed under: uncultured bacterium
Lineage: Bacteria
Description: partial 16S ribosomal RNA
Rfam family: Bacterial small subunit ribosomal RNA
Source: RNAcentral